This 303-nucleotide ribosomal RNA is filed under the name uncultured bacterium. RNAcentral describes it as "partial 16S ribosomal RNA". It matches the Rfam family "Bacterial small subunit ribosomal RNA", at positions 507 to 809 of the family's 1533-position model. The record is from RNAcentral.
AGCAGUCGCCGCGGUAAUACGUAGGUGGCGAGCGUUGUCCGGAAUUAUUGGGCGUAAAGGGAGCGCAGGCGGACAUAUAAGUCCAUCUUAAAAGUGCAGGGCUCAACCCCGUGAGGGGAUGGAAACUGUAUGCCUUGAGUGCAGGAGAGGAAAGCGGAAUUCCCAGUGUAGCGGUGAAAUGCGUAGAUAUUGGGAGGAACACCAGUGGCGAAGGCGGCUUUCUGGACUGUAACUGACGCUGAGGCUCGAAAGCCAGGGGAGCGAACGGGAUUAGAUACCCCAGUAGUCCCUGUCUCUUAUACA